Molecule: ribosomal RNA, 534 nt
Filed under: Pagodibela sp. MNHN IM 2007-17844
Lineage: Eukaryota; Metazoa; Mollusca; Gastropoda; Neogastropoda; Raphitomidae
Description: partial 12S ribosomal RNA
Source: RNAcentral
GCACAUUUUAGAGCCUUGUUCAGAUUAUUUAUAUACAUAAACUUACUUUUAAGUCCUCCUUCAAGUUUUUUACAAUAUACAUAUCCGUAUUAUAAUUUUUAAUUGUAACCCAUCUUCUCCUUUUUAUAAACUGCACCUUGAUUUGACAUCCUAAUAAAAUAGAUUUUUUAGCUAACUUCUUUUUUCUCUUAAAGUUACCUGAUGACAACGGUAUACAAAUUGAUUACUAAAAAAGGUAAGGUCUAACGUGGAUUGUCGAUUAUGAGACAGGUUCCCCUAAGUGGUCUAAAAUACCGCCAAGUUCUUUGAGUUUUAAAUUAUUUUAUUUGUAGUACUCUGGUAAAUUUCUUUAUUUAAUUCUAAAAAUAAUGGGGUAUCCAAUCCCAGUUUCCCUUAAAGAUUUCACAGAUUCAACAAAAUAGUUACUGUAAUAUUAUUACAUCUAUAUUAAAUUUUACUUAUAUAUAGAAAAUCAAUAAACUCUUAUUUGUCUAACUGUCUUUUUACCAAAUUAUAUAACUUAACUUAUUGGUU